Molecule: ribosomal RNA, 710 nt
Filed under: Alcanivorax sp.
Lineage: Bacteria; Pseudomonadati; Pseudomonadota; Gammaproteobacteria; Oceanospirillales; Alcanivoracaceae
Description: bacterial SSU rRNA
Rfam family: Bacterial small subunit ribosomal RNA
Source: RNAcentral
AACGCUGGCGGCAGGCCUAACACAUGCAAGUCGAGCGGAAACGAUGGUAGCUUGCWCCCCAGGCGUCGAGCGGCGGACGGGUGAGUAACGCGUGAGAAUCUGCCCAUUUGUGGGGGAUAACUCGGGGAAACUCGAGCUAAUACCGCAUAAUCCCUACGGGGGAAAGCAGGGGACCUUCGGRCCUUGUGCAGAUGGAUGAGCUCGCGUCGGAUUAGCUUGUUGGUGAGGUAAAGGCUCACCAAGGCGACGAUCCGUAGCUGGUCUGAGAGGAUGAUCAGCCACACCGGGACUGAGACACGGCCCGGACUCCUACGGGAGGCAGCAGUGGGGAAUCUUGGACAAUGGGGGCAACCCUGAUCCAGCCAUGCCGCGUGUGUGAAGAAGGCCUUCGGGUUGUAAAGCACUUUCAGUAGGGAGGAAGGCUUACCGCUAAUAACGGUGAGUACUUGACGUUACCUACAGAAGAAGCACCGGCUAAUUUCGUGCCAGCAGCCGCGGUAAUACGAAAGGUGCGAGCGUUAAUCGGAAUUACUGGGCGUAAAGCGCGCGUAGGCGGUUUGUUAAGUCAGAUGUGAAAGCCCCGGGCUCAACCUGGGAAUUGCAUUUGAAACUGGCAGGCUAGAGUGCAGUAGAGGGAGGUGGAAUUUCCGGUGUAGCGGUGAAAUGCGUAGAGAUCGGAAGGAACACCAGUGGCGAAGGCGGCCUCCUGG